GAUCAUGGCUCAGGAUGAACGCUGGCGGCAUGCCUAAUACAUGCAAGUCGAACGAGAGGAAGGAAAGCUUGCUUUUCCGAAUCUAGUGGCGAACGGGUGAGUAACACGUAGGUAACCUGCCCAUGUGCCCGGGAUAACUUCUGGAAACGGAUGCUAAAACCGGAUAGGUAGCAGACAAGCAUUUGACUGCUAUUAAAGUGGCUAAGGCCAUGAACAUGGAUGGACCUGCGGUGCA
Molecule: ribosomal RNA, 235 nt
Filed under: uncultured bacterium
Lineage: Bacteria
Description: partial 16S ribosomal RNA
Rfam family: Bacterial small subunit ribosomal RNA
Source: RNAcentral